CCUACGGGUGACAGCAGUGAGGAAUAUUGGUCAAUGGGCGCGAGCCUGAACCAGCCAAGUAGCGUGAAGGAUGACUGCCCUACGGGUUGUAAACUUCUUUUAUAAAGGAAUAAAGUGAGGCACGUGUGCCUUUUUGUAUGUACUUUAUGAAUAAGGAUCGGCUAACUCCGUGCCAGCAGCCGCGGUAAUACGGAGGAUGCGAGCGUUAUCCGGAUUUAUUGGGUUUAAAGGGAGCGUAGAUGGGUUGUUAAGUCAGUGGUGAAAGUUUGCGGCUCAACCAUAAAAUUGCAGUUGAAACUGGCUGACUUGAGUACAGUAGAGGUAGGCGGAAUGCGUGGUGUAGCGGUGAAAUGCUUAGAUAUCACGAAGAACUCCGAUUGCGAAGGCAGUUCACUAAACUACAACUGACACUGAGGCACGAAAGUGUGGGGAUCAAACAGGAUUAGAUACCCGGGUAGUC
Molecule: ribosomal RNA, 460 nt
Filed under: uncultured bacterium
Lineage: Bacteria
Description: partial 16S ribosomal RNA
Rfam family: Bacterial small subunit ribosomal RNA
Source: RNAcentral